This 1343-nucleotide long non-coding RNA is filed under the name Marmota monax (woodchuck). Lineage: Eukaryota; Metazoa; Chordata; Mammalia; Rodentia; Sciuridae. The record is from RNAcentral.
AACAUUUUCUACUAUGGGAUCCAGGACUAUGACCAGGACCAUGCCUGAGUGCACCUUGUGAUGGAGAAGGGAGACACUGUUUUCUUCCACCCAUUGCUCAUCCAUGGAUCUGGUUGGAAUCAAACUCAAGGAUUCCAGAAAGUAUGCAUCCAUGUUGCUUCAGUUUUGAAAGAUGAAUGGGUUCAAAACAGAAAAUCAUAGGUAUAUUAACACAUAAAAGAUUUAUGACUUUUCACUAAACUGGACUGUUUUUUUCCAGUUUGUUAACCAGGAAGAAUAUUUGCCUUCCUUGUACUUUUUUUUCUCUACUCAGUCAGAAGCCAGGUGCCCUCAGGAUCCUAAACCUGUUACUUGUGAAUCUUGGUCAUUUGUGGAAUUGCUUCAGAGCAGUAGCUCACCUUGCAGUGCCCAGUUUCUGAUUUCUUAACCUAAAACAAUGAUUAAAAUACUCAAAUAAUCACAUUUGGGAUUUAUAUUGCUCAGGGUAACUAGAACAAGACGCAAAUUUAGAAUAUGCUUAUUAUUAUAGAAUAUCCUUACUAACUGGGAAAAACAAUAUUGAUCCUAAGCAAAGGUUCUGAAUUGUCUGCACAUAUUUAUCCCCCUCCAAUCUCAGUGUUUUAAAUUAAAUAAUUUUGUCACUGACAUUUAAAAAUUGACAGAAUUCCUUACAAUUUCCCUGAUUUCUCACUUGUCUCAAAUUCAGCAAAUCUUAUAGUAUUGUGGGCUCACUUUCCUCAUGGUAACAAGGUUGUCCAUAAUAUUAGGGCUCCUUUAAGAUUCAGUGGGGUUUCCAGUUUGUCCCCUGGUUCCCAAUUUGUUCUAACCCCAAGUAUAGGGUUGCAGACUUUAUUCAUUUAUAUUUGCACUAGGCUCACUAGGGCCUGGUACAAGUUGAUACCAGUUGGGGCAGUGCCUGAGGAUAAAAUUGAAGGGGCUACCAAAAUCUCAGCCAUCAAGUUAAAUGCUGUUUUACUAAAUCAAAAUUAAUGCAAAAAAAUCCAUGCUGUGUACAAUGUCAAAAAUUUAAAUAAAAGACAGGAAGUACCCGCACUAGCAUAACCCUCAGGCCGUGUUAAGUAUGAAAGUGCAAGCACAAAGAUGCAAACAGUGAUGUGAUUUGUAAUAUAUUCACUUUGCAAUAUUUUCAUAUUUUCACUGAUUUUAAUGUUCUGGAAGAACAUUUACAAUUAUUUCCUAAAAACAUGGGUGUAGAAGUACACAAUUUUCCUUAUGCCUUGGGCCUUGAUGUGGCUUUGUCUGGAACAGGGUCUGCACAGAAAAUAGAGUUUAAAGAAAACUUUAAAUGCUUAGAAAUGUGAAGAUCUGUUACUUAUGCUGCC